UUUAUUUCGGAACAUGAACCCCAUCUCGUCUUGUUCCUUCCUAGAUAUCAUGUUUUUCCAUCUCCGAACCAUGGUUUUAAACUUUUACUUAUAAUUUAUCCAUUUUUUUAUUUUUGAUAAACCCGAUCGGUUGAUCCGGUCAGCUCUGGGAGGAUCACACCGAAGUGCUACAAUGUGGACUCGUCGCCAAUACCUAGGUGUUGGGCUACCACAUCGCCUGAAUCCAGAUUAACGCUUUCCGAAUCCAGAUGAACGCUUUCCGACUAAUGCCCGGGGGUAAUCAGGCCGCCUGCAUUUCUGAUUACCAGGUAAACCAAUUGGGCCUAAGCCCAACUGACAGACUUCCCCAAAAGAUGGUGUUAACAGCAAAGUGGAGAAUCGAACCCAGGUUAUGGGAAUUGCAUCCUUCCUCCAAGCUCCCCUACCACCAGCCCACCACCUCUU
Molecule: long non-coding RNA, 444 nt
Filed under: Capsella rubella
Lineage: Eukaryota; Viridiplantae; Streptophyta; Magnoliopsida; Brassicales; Brassicaceae
Description: long non-coding RNA (CRUB_LNC000601)
Source: RNAcentral